UUAUCCUGAUUUCCUAGUCAUGACCAUGUUAGUACGAGAAUUUCCUCUGAGCACGCUGACACACUAGGACACGAAUUUCUUAAAUGGGUGCGUAGAUUUUCUUACUUGUUGCUUACUAUUUUAAGUAGUCCUAAAUUCCAGGAAUCCGUUCUUCUGUUUACGACUAGUUAGCACCUCCACAUUCCAUGGCGUUUUUCACAGUGAGCAAAAUUUAUGACAAUAUCAAAAGACAGAAGUCUGACGAAACUGGAAACCCCACAGUCCAUGCAGAGAAGGUUUUGCUAUCUCUCUUCCCUACAGGAGAAUCGUUCAUUAGGGUUUCAACAGUUUUAACGAAAGACCAAGCUUUCCUAUUGCGCAUAUUACGCAUGUUUUUUAAACAAUCCGUAGACGGUUGAAUGUAUGUCAUGACAGAAGCUGAUAAGUGUUGCGAAGAUGCCGCAAAACUCCGCUUCACUCUUCUAGCAGAGUCCUUUUGCUUUGUAAUUGAAAGUUGAUAAUGGAUAGAUUCCAAGCAUGGUGGAUAGAUGGAUACCAGUUGUAUUCAGGGGUAGAGGAUCGUGACAGAAAUUAGCUGCCUCUACAAUGCUCGAUAACUUUAUUAUGAAAUUUAGGGAGCGGUUCCAACUUAGGUGGGCGCUGAUAAUCUCGUCCGCGUUUGUAGUCUUCGGCCCCUUUUCUCUUGUUCAAUGUUUUAUUCGAUAGUUUUCUUGGCUAGAACACACCUAGUGGGAGGCCCUGAAUAUUGAACAUCGAAGCACAAAGUCACGAAGUAUAUGGUUCAUGGGGUUUGCAGAAUCAUUCGCUCGCAUGUGAGUAUAAGUUCUACUUCAUACGGUAGUUUUAUGGAAUAUCUUGAUCUAAUCUGAGACAAUAAGGAGGGUCUUUCGUAAUUUAAUUUCAUCUCUUUCAGGAGGCCUCGAGGAUUACGACGAGUUCCACAAUCCACGAACUAAGCGGGACAUGAAUAAGGUUGUCUUUGGUGGUGAUGCUGGAGCGGAAGUGGCUGAUAUGCGUCAUUCAUAUUUUUUCCUGUCUAUGCGGUUGCGUUGGUGAUCAUCUCGAGCUUAUCCGGUCUUUCGGUAUAUACAUAUAUGCGCUUGCUUGUGUGGGGUUCAGCGAAUUUAGGAUCCAUUGGUUGUGUUGUUCAGGAAAAUUCAAGUUACAUGAACGUUGAAUAUACCAACAGUUGUGAUCCAGUAUACUUUGCAUUGGUGUCAACUUGUAGGAUUAUUCUUUCCUAUGCACGCGAUCUGCUGUGAGAAUAUUGAUGAAUGCUACAAAGCGCUUGAGUUAAUUCUUUUGGGCCAUAGCUGAUUUCUUGCAGACAUGUGUAAGCGGAAACCUUCGAAUUUGUGAAAAUUACUCUGGUCUUGUACUUCUUUCACUUGCUCUUGGGAGAGUCCAUUACCAAAAUGAUAAUGAUUUGAUUUGAUUAUUACUCCAAUUCGGCUUUCACGCAAUCCGUGUGAUCAGGGACUUAGAUUGAUUCGUCCAUGUGGAGGCAGGAGAAGAAGAAUCGCCUGACAUGAGACUGGUUAAGCAAAGCGCAUAGGAACCAAAUGUACCUUCGCUGGGUUAGGAAUUAGGACCUCACGAGGUGGUUCAUCCAGCCCCUCUGAGACGGGACAAUACCAAUUGGAAGCUUGUUCAACCCUUCAACAUUCUUGCGACAUUUGGCAUCGUUCAAAAUGUGAAUUCUUUUACAGGAUAUGAAUGCUCUAGGUCUUCUAGAAGUGUUCACGGAUUCCCACAAUCCACACUGAAUGCUCAGUGUCUACUUCGGUUUACCGAUGGGGGAUACCAUCUCUGCAUUUCAGCUCCUGUAACUUGGCGAUAUUAUCCAAUUCCUACCAUUGGUCUUGCUUCUUCAGCAACGGAUUUCUUCCAGACCCCACCCAUGAAAUAUCAUAAUAUUGUCUACUUGAAGACAGUUA
RNAcentral lists this long non-coding RNA (1937 nucleotides) under Physcomitrium patens. RNAcentral's name for it is "long non-coding RNA (PPAT_LNC002285)". The record is from RNAcentral. Lineage: Eukaryota; Viridiplantae; Streptophyta; Bryopsida; Funariales; Funariaceae.